Molecule: ribosomal RNA, 433 nt
Filed under: uncultured bacterium
Lineage: Bacteria
Description: partial 16S ribosomal RNA
Rfam family: Bacterial small subunit ribosomal RNA
Source: RNAcentral
AACGAACGCUGGCGGCAUGCCUAACACAUGCAAGUCGAACGAGACCUUCGGGUCUAGUGGCGCACGGGUGCGUAACGCGUGGGAACCUGCCCUUAGGUUCGGAAUAACUCCCCGAAAGGGGUGCUAAUACCGGUUAAUGUCUUCGGACCAAAGAUUUAUCGCCUUUGGAUGGGCCCGCGUUGGAUUAGCUAGUUGGUAGGGUAAAAGCCUACCAAGGCGACGAUCCAUAGCUGGUCUGAGAGGAUGAUCAGACACACUGGGACUGAGACACGGCCCAGACUCCUACGGGAGGCAGCAGUGGGGAAUAUUGGACAAUGGGCGAAAGCCUGAUCCAGCAAUGCCGCGUGAGUGAUGAAGGCCUUAGGGUUGUAAAGCUCUUUUACCCGGGAUGAUAAUGACAGUACCGGGAGAAUAAGCUCCGGCUAACUCCGUG